CGCACCCGCGGCCAGGUCGGCCAGGCCGUCGUGGUUGGCGUCCGCGAGGUGGACGGCCCUGCCGAAGGCGUCGUUCUUCUCGGCGGAGCCCGGC
RNAcentral lists this transfer RNA (94 nucleotides) under Streptomyces caelestis. RNAcentral describes it as "tRNA-Ala". Lineage: Bacteria; Bacillati; Actinomycetota; Actinomycetes; Kitasatosporales; Streptomycetaceae. The record is from RNAcentral.